This 256-nucleotide ribosomal RNA is filed under the name uncultured bacterium. RNAcentral describes it as "partial 16S ribosomal RNA". It matches the Rfam family "Bacterial small subunit ribosomal RNA", at positions 793 to 1055 of the family's 1533-position model. The record is from RNAcentral.
GUCCACGCCGUAAACGAUGGAUACUAGCUGUUGGGAUUUAUCUCAGUGGCUAAGCGAAAGUGAUAACUAUCCCACCUGGGGAGUACGUUCGCAAGAAUGAAACUCAAAGGAAUUGACGGGGGCCCCGCACAAGCGGUGGAGCAUGUGGUUUAAUUCGAUGAUACGCGAGGAACCUUACCAAGGCUUAAAUGUAGAUUGACCGGUUUGGAAACAGAUCUUUCGCAAGACAAUUUACAAGGUGCUGCAUGGUUGUCGU